GUGAUUUUGCUCAAGAAAGAAUGUGAAUGAAACACAGGGCCGGGCCGGGGUCAGGACCUGAGCCCUUGCUCCUGGGUGAGCUGCCCAUCCCCCAGCUCCCCCACAUGGCUCCGUUAUCACUGACUCUUUGUCACAUGUCCAGGGAAGCCUGGAACCAGACCUUUUGACUCUGAAAUCCAAGUUCUUUCUUCUAGAGCUCUCAGAAAGAUUAGAAUUUUCAAAGCAUUUUGUUAUCUCCUUUGGUUCCCACAACAACUAAAACAAAGUGGGUACUAUUAUUAUUCCCCCUUUACAGAUUAAGUUCAGCAGGCUUGAAUAAUUUGCUGAAGGUCACCCAACUGAUAAGCCAUUGGGGGGUGGUGGUGGUGGCUAGAAAUCAAGAUCUUGAUUCCAAAUAAUUUUUUUCUUUUUUUCUAAAAAAUAUUUUUAUUUGUAUAUUUUUAUUGUUUGAUAGGCAGAGAGGUGCACAAAGAGUAAGAGAGAGAGAGAGCGCUCUUCUAUCUGCUAAUUCACUCCCCCAAAUGCCCACGAUAGCUGGGGAUGAGCAGGCUGAAGCCAGGAGCCUGGAACUCAAUCCAGCCGGAACCCAGGUACUUGAGCCAUCAUCUGCUACCACCUGAGUGCACGUUAGCAGGAAGCUGGAGUCUGAAGUGGAGCCAGGAGUCAAACGUAGGCCCUCCCUUGUGGGACUGAGCAGCAUCGUACAGGAGAGACAGAAGGGAAGAUGGUCUGAGACUGACCACAAAGGGGAAGAAAGGUGACCUUGAAGAAGGCCGCUUCCUUCCAAGGGCUCAUCCUCCUGCCUGGUAGGCAGUCCAGCUCUCAGCCCUAUCAACUGUUUUCAUCUCAACGUGAUUUUACGCCCGUAGCUUGGACCUGGUGCUUUGCACUUCGAGACGCAGUACCUGGAGAGUGUUUAUGCCUCACUAACAUUUCCAAACUACACCAUCAAAAAAAUAAGUCGAGGAAAAACAGUUUAGCUUGGUUUAGCAUCUGCCGCUUUCUAAAGAGGACAAGGGACUUCUUUCCACCCCGGCACGGCCCUUUGAGCGGGGCGGUGCUGCUCUCCACAUUUUAUGGCUGAGGCAAGUGAGGCGCUGGAGAGUUAAAAAACGUACCCAAGGUGACGUGCCGGGUUUACGUGAGUAACAGGACGCAAACAGAACGCAGCUGGGGAGCCAGGCACAGCCGGACAGCAAGGCAAAGGAUCCCCACUUCCUGCAACCUGAGAAAUGGGAGACAGUGCCCCCUGGCCAGAAGACGCAGCCCUUGCGCUUCCUCUCCUUUCU
RNAcentral lists this long non-coding RNA (1289 nucleotides) under Oryctolagus cuniculus (rabbit). RNAcentral describes it as "lncRNA (ENSOCUG00000039159.1)". Lineage: Eukaryota; Metazoa; Chordata; Mammalia; Lagomorpha; Leporidae. The record is from RNAcentral.